RNAcentral lists this microRNA precursor (67 nucleotides) under Mus musculus (house mouse). RNAcentral's name for it is "Mmu-Let-7-P1b_pre stem-loop". RNAcentral also lists the same sequence under 1 other name. The record is from RNAcentral. Lineage: Eukaryota; Metazoa; Chordata; Mammalia; Rodentia; Muridae.
UGAGGUAGGAGGUUGUAUAGUUGAGGAAGACACCCGAGGAGAUCACUAUACGGCCUCCUAGCUUUCC